This 30-nucleotide non-coding RNA is filed under the name Homo sapiens (human). Lineage: Eukaryota; Metazoa; Chordata; Mammalia; Primates; Hominidae. The record is from RNAcentral.
UAUGGGAAACAAAGGGAUGGGCUAAAAUAU